GGGUCAAAGGUCAUAAGGUGCUGGGCCGCCACUGGGAGAGCCGCUUCGUAGCGCUGCAGGUGCACAUGCUAGACACUAUCAGGGAUAUGUUCCUGUGUUCGGACCGUCCCGUCCUGCAGGCCAUCUUCCUCAACAGCAACUGCUUCGAGCACCUGACACGCCUCCUACAGAACAGCAAGCUGGUUAAUGCUAGGUGCACGACAGCAGAGAAGGACCAGAAAGAUUUCACCAACAGGUUACUGACAGUGACAGGA
Molecule: long non-coding RNA, 254 nt
Organism: Oncorhynchus keta (chum salmon)
Lineage: Eukaryota; Metazoa; Chordata; Actinopteri; Salmoniformes; Salmonidae
Exons: 3
Source: RefSeq, a predicted model, not a curated record